Molecule: ribosomal RNA, 591 nt
Filed under: uncultured archaeon
Lineage: Archaea
Description: bacterial SSU rRNA
Rfam family: Archaeal small subunit ribosomal RNA
Source: RNAcentral
UUCGGUUAAUCUGUCUGCUCACGUAUGGGCUGCGGGGGAUACUGCAGAGCUAGGGAGUGGGAGAGGUAGACGGUACUCGGGAGGAAGGGGUAAAAUCCUUUGAUCUAUAUGAUGACCACCUGGGGCGAAGGCGGUCGACCAAAACACGCUCCGACGGUGAAGGGAUGAAAGCUGGGGGAGCAAACCGGAUUAAAUACCCGGGUAGUCCCAGCUGUAAACUAUGCAAACUCAGUGAAUGCAUUGGCUUGUGGCCGUGCAGUGCUGCAGGGAAGCCGUUAAGUUUGCCGCCUGGGAAGUACGUACGCAAGAUAUGAAACUUAAAGGAAUUGGCGGGGGAGCACCACAAGGGGUGAAGCCUGCGGUUCAUUUGGAGUCAACGCCAGAAAUCUUACCCGGAGAGACAGCAGAAUGAAGGUUAAGCUGAAGACUUUACCAGACAAGCUGAGAGGUGGUGCAUGGCCGUCGCCAGCUCGUGCCGUGAGAUGUUGUGUUAAGUCAGGUAACGAGCGAGAUCCCUGCCUCUAGUUGCCACCAUUACUCUCAUGAGUAGUGGGGCGAAUUAGCGGCACCGCCCGGGUAAAUGCUGGAGGA